GACAGAGGGUGCGAACGUUGUUCGGAAUUACUGGGCGUAAAGCGCGUGUAGGCUGUUCGGAAAGUCGGGUGUGAAAGCCCUGGGCUCAACCUAGGAAGUGCACUCGAAACUCCCGAACUGGAGUCCCGGAGAGGAAGGCGGAAUUCUCGGUGUAGAGGUGAAAUGCAUAGAUAUCUUCAAGAACACCGAUUGCGAAGGCAGCUCACUAAGGAGUAACUGACGCUGAGGCACGAAAGCGUGGGUAGCAAACAGG
This 253-nucleotide ribosomal RNA is filed under the name uncultured bacterium. Its description in RNAcentral is "partial 16S ribosomal RNA". It matches the Rfam family "Bacterial small subunit ribosomal RNA", at positions 524 to 776 of the family's 1533-position model. The record is from RNAcentral.